GACGAACGCUGGCGGCGUGCUUAACACGUGCAAGUCGAACGGAAAGGCCCUGCUUUUGUGGUGUGCUCGAGUGGCGAACGGGGGAGUAACACGUGAGUAACCUGCCUUUGACUUUGGGAUAUCUUCAGGAAACUGGGGCUAAUACCGGAUAGGAGCUCCUGCUGCAUGGUGGGGGUUGGAUAGUUGCGGUGGUUGGGGAUGGACUCGCGGCUGAUCAGCUUGUCGGUGGGGUAGUGGCUUACCAAGGCUUUGACGGGUAGCCGGCCUGAGAGGGUGACCGGCCACAUUGGGACUGAGAUACGGCCCAGACUCAUACGGGAGGCAGCAGUGGGGAAUAUUGCACAAUGGGCGGAAGCCUGAUGCAGCAACGCCGCGUGCGGGAUGACGGCCUUCGGGUUGUAGACCGCUUUCGCCUGUGACGAAGCGUGAGUGACGGUAAUGGGUAAAGAAGCACCGGCUAACUACGUG
This 468-nucleotide ribosomal RNA is filed under the name uncultured bacterium. Its description in RNAcentral is "partial 16S ribosomal RNA". It matches the Rfam family "Bacterial small subunit ribosomal RNA", at positions 28 to 507 of the family's 1533-position model. The record is from RNAcentral.